Molecule: small RNA, 140 nt
Filed under: Marmota monax (woodchuck)
Lineage: Eukaryota; Metazoa; Chordata; Mammalia; Rodentia; Sciuridae
Source: RNAcentral
GCUGGGUGCAGUGGCGCAUGCCUGUAAUCCCAGCAGUUUGGGAGGCUGAGGCGGGAGGCUGAGGCAGGAGGAUGGCGAUUUCAAAACCAGCCUUAGCAAUUUAGCGAGGCGCUACGCAACUCAGUCAGACCCUGUCUCAA